Long non-coding RNA from Vigna angularis (adzuki bean), 709 nucleotides. RefSeq lists it as uncharacterized. The record is from RefSeq and is a predicted model, not a curated record. The transcript has 3 exons. Lineage: Eukaryota; Viridiplantae; Streptophyta; Magnoliopsida; Fabales; Fabaceae.
AUUUGAUCUUUAUUCUUUUCGAAACUUUGGUUUUAGUCCUCUAAAACUAACACCUUUAAAAAUUACCUGACGUGGCUAACGGUAGACUGACACACGAUUUUUUUUUUCAGUGUUUCUCACCUUUUCUCCCCUUUUCUCUCUUCCUUCCAUCUUUCACCCAACUUCAUCUUUCACAACCAGCUUUCUUUCCUUCAUAACUCUUCCCUCUCGCAACCUCCACGCAUAUCCCAGCUGAAUGUAUCCUUGUUCUUGCUGCGACCAAUAGGCCGUUUGACCUGGAUGAAGCAAUAAUUAGGAGAUUUGAAAGGAGCCCAGAACGACAGCAACAGCACGCAGAGCAGAACAACGCUGCUAUGGAUCUGAUAAAUAGUGUUGUAGGUGUUGAUGAUGAAGGUCGGUCCCGACAGAGGAUUCUAACAUUUGCUGCCAGGAGAACUUGUGUACAACUGCUGCUUACAGACCUCUUAGAGAGUUAAUUCAACAAGAGAGGGAAGAUGGAAGGAAGAGAGAGAAGGGGAGAAAAGGUGAGAAACACUUGAAAAAAAAACCGUGUGUCAGUCUAUCGUUAGCCACGUCAGGUAAUUUUUAACGGUGUUAGUUUUAGAGGACUAAAACCAAAGUUUCAAAAAGAAUGAGGACCAAAUUGUACCUUAUUUUGAAAAAGGGACGAAAACCAGAAACGGCCAAUAAUUUAGGGACUAAAAACAUA